CCCUUAGUAACGGCGAGUGAACCGGGAUGAGCUCAAAUUUGAAAUCUGGCGUCUUUCAGGCGUCCGAGUUGUAAUCUAUAGAGGCGUUUUCCGCGCCGGACCGCGUCCAAGUCUCUUGGAAUAGAGUAUCAAAGAGGGUGACAAUCCCGUACUUGACGCGACAACCGGUGCUCUGUGAUACGUUCUCAAUGAGUCGAGUUGUUUGGGAAUGCAGCUCUAAAUGGGUGGUAAAUUCCAUCUAAGGCUAAAUAUUGGCGAGAGACCGAUAGCGAACAAGUACCGUGAGGGAAAGAUGAAAAGCACUUUGGAAAGAGAGUUAAACAGCACGUGAAAUUGUUAAAAGGGAAACGAUUGAAGUCAGUCGUGUGGGAAGUAUUCAGCCGUCUCUGGCGGUGUAUUUGCUUCUCACGGGUCAACAUCAGUUUGAUCCGGUAGAAAAAGGCGGGAAGAAGGUGGCACCCUCGGGUGUGUUAUAGCUUCCUGUCAUAUGUGCCGGACCAGACUGAGGAACGCAGCUUGCAGCAAUGCCGGGGUUCGCCCACGUACAAGCUUAGGAUGUUGACAUAAUGGCUUUAAACGACCCGUCUUGAAACA
Molecule: ribosomal RNA, 594 nt
Filed under: Vishniacozyma carnescens
Lineage: Eukaryota; Fungi; Basidiomycota; Tremellomycetes; Tremellales; Bulleribasidiaceae
Description: eukaryotic LSU rRNA
Rfam family: Eukaryotic large subunit ribosomal RNA
Source: RNAcentral